UGCCAAAUCUAUCCGACCCAA
This 21-nucleotide non-coding RNA is filed under the name Caenorhabditis elegans. The record is from RNAcentral. Lineage: Eukaryota; Metazoa; Nematoda; Chromadorea; Rhabditida; Rhabditidae.